GAACGCUGGCGGCGUGCCUAAGGUAUGCAAGUCGAGCGGUAAGGCUCUCACAGUUUGCUGGAUCGGAGCGGGUCUAGAUCUGUUUCUUAAAGAUCAAGCAAAGUGUGAGAGUACACGAGCGGCGGACGGCUGAGUAACGCGUAGGAACGUACCCCAAGCAGAGGAAUAAGCCCGGGAAACCGGGUCUAAUACCGCAUAAUCUCUUCGGAGCAAAGCUACGGCGGUUUGGGAGCGGCCUGCGUCUGAUUAGGUAGUUGGUGGGGUAAAAGCUCACCAAGCCGAUGAUCGGUAGCUGGUCUGAGAGGAUGAUCAGCCAGAUUGGAACUGAGACACGGUCCAAACCCCUACGGGGGGCAGCAACUGGGAAUUUUUCACAAUGGGCGAAAGCCUGAUGGAGCAACGCCGCGUGCAGGAGUAAGGCCUUCGGGUUGUAAACUGCUUUUAUGGGUGAUGACAUUCGACAGUAACCCAUGAAUAAGGGUCUGCUAACUACGUG
Molecule: ribosomal RNA, 496 nt
Filed under: uncultured bacterium
Lineage: Bacteria
Description: bacterial SSU rRNA
Rfam family: Bacterial small subunit ribosomal RNA
Source: RNAcentral